This 328-nucleotide ribosomal RNA is filed under the name Escherichia coli. Its description in RNAcentral is "bacterial SSU rRNA". It matches the Rfam family "Bacterial small subunit ribosomal RNA", at positions 1 to 323 of the family's 1533-position model. Lineage: Bacteria; Pseudomonadati; Pseudomonadota; Gammaproteobacteria; Enterobacterales; Enterobacteriaceae. The record is from RNAcentral.
UUAAAUUGAAGAGUUUGAUCAUGGCUCAGAUUGAACGCUGGCGGCAGGCCUAACACAUGCAAGUCGAACGGUAACAGGAAGAAGCUUGCUUCUUUGCUGACGAGUGGCGGACGGGUGAGUAAUGUCUGGGAAACUGCCUGAUGGAGGGGGAUAACUACUGGAAACGGUAGCUAAUACCGCAUAACGUCGCAAGACCAAAGAGGGGGACCUUCGGGCCUCUUGCCAUCGGAUGUGCCCAGAUGGGAUUAGCUAGUAGGUGGGGUAACGGCUCACCUAGGCGACGAUCCCUAGCUGGUCUGAGAGGAUGACCAGCCACACUGGAACUGAG